AUGAUUGGAGCAAUGGUCCUCCA
Molecule: unclassified non-coding RNA, 23 nt
Filed under: Mus musculus (house mouse)
Lineage: Eukaryota; Metazoa; Chordata; Mammalia; Rodentia; Muridae
Description: oocyte_clustered_small_RNA5117
Source: RNAcentral